AACGAACGCUGGCGGCGUGGAUAAGACAUGCAAGUCGAACGAGAGAAUUGCUAGCUUGCUAAUAAUUCUCUAGUGGCGCACGGGUGAGUAACACGUGAGUAACCUGCCCCCGAGAGCGGGAUAGCCCUGGGAAACUGGGAUUAAUACCGCAUAGUAUCGAAAGAUUAAAGCAGCAAUGCGCUUGGGGAUGGGCUCGCGGCCUAUUAGUUAGUUGGUGAGGUAACGGCUCACCAAGGCGAUGACGGGUAGCCGGUCUGAGAGGAUGUCCGGCCACACUGGAACUGAGACACGGUCCAGACACCUACGGGUGGCAGCAGUCGAGAAUCAUUCACAAUGGGGGAAACCCUGAUGGUGCGACGCCGCGUGGGGGAAUGAAGGUCUUCGGAUUGUAAACCCCUGUCAUGUGGGAGCAAAUUAAAAAGAUAGUACCACAAGAGGAAGAGACGGCUAACUCUGUGC
This 459-nucleotide ribosomal RNA is filed under the name uncultured bacterium. RNAcentral's name for it is "bacterial SSU rRNA". It matches the Rfam family "Bacterial small subunit ribosomal RNA", at positions 29 to 508 of the family's 1533-position model. The record is from RNAcentral.